RNAcentral lists this ribosomal RNA (501 nucleotides) under uncultured bacterium. Its description in RNAcentral is "partial 16S ribosomal RNA". It matches the Rfam family "Bacterial small subunit ribosomal RNA", at positions 30 to 523 of the family's 1533-position model. The record is from RNAcentral.
AUUGAACGCUGGCGGCAGGCUUAACACAUGCAAGUCGAGCGGGGGAAGGUAGCUUGCUACCGGACCUAGCGGCGGACGGGUGAGUAAUGCUUAGGAAUCUGCCUAUUAGUGGGGGACAACAUCUCGAAAGGGAUGCUAAUACCGCAUACGUCCUACGGGAGAAAGCAGGGGAUCUUCGGACCUUGCGCUAAUAGAUGAGCCUAAGUCGGAUUAGCUAGUUGGUGAGGUAAAGGCCUACCAAGGCGACGAUCUGUAGCGGGUCUGAGAGGAUGGGCCGCCACACUGGGACGGAGACACGGCCCAGACUCCUACGGGAGGCAGCAGUGGGGAAUAUUGGACAAUGGGGGGAACCCUGAUCCAGCCAUGCCGCGUGUGUGAAGAAGGCCUUAUGGUUGUAAAGCACUUUAAGCGAGGAGGAGGCUCUUUUGGUUAAUACCCAAGAUGAGUGGACGUUACUCGCAGAAUAAGCACCGGCUAACUCUGUGCCAGCAGCCGCGGUAA